Molecule: ribosomal RNA, 447 nt
Filed under: uncultured bacterium
Lineage: Bacteria
Description: bacterial SSU rRNA
Rfam family: Bacterial small subunit ribosomal RNA
Source: RNAcentral
CCAGACUCCUACGGGAGGCAGCAGUGGGGAAUAUUGCACAAUGGGGGAAACCCUGAUGCAGCGACGCCGCGUGAGUGAAGAAGUAUUUCGGUAUGUAAAGCUCUAUCAGCAGGGACGAAAAUGACGGUACCUGAGUAAGAAGCCCCGGCUAACUACGUGCCAGCAGCCGCGGUAAUACGUAGGGGGCAAGCGUUAUCCGGAUUUAUUGGGUGUAAAGGGAGCGUAGACGGUUAUGCAAGUCUGGAGUGAAAGGCGGGGGCCCAACCCCCGGACUGCUCUGGAAACUAUUUGACUGGAGUGCAGGAGAGGUAAGCGGAAUUCCUAGUGUAGCGGUGAAAUGCGUAGAUAUUAGGAGGAACACCAGUGGCGAAGGCGGCUUACUGGACUGUAACUGACGUUGAGGCUCGAAAGCGUGGGGAGCAAACAGGAUUAGAUACCCCCGUAGAU